CCUACGGGAGGCAGCAGUGAGGAAUAUUUGUCAAUGGGCUUACGCCUGAACCAGCCAAGUCGCGUGAGGGAAGAAUGCCCUAUGGGUUGUAAACCUCUUUUGUCAGGGAGCAACGCCGGCUACGUGUAGCCGGACUGAGAGUACCUGAAGAAAAAGCAUCGGCUAACUCCGUGCCAGCAGCCGCGGUAAUACGGGGGAUGCGAGCGUUAUCCGGAUUUAUUGGGUUUAAAGGGGGCGUAGGCGGAAUGCAAAGUCAGCGGGAAAAUCGCGGGGCUCAACCUCGCUCAGCCGUUGAAACUGGCGGUCUUGAGUGAGGGAGAAGUAUGCGGAAUGCGUGGUGUAGCGGUGAAAUGCAUAGAUAUCACGAAGAACACCGAUUGCGAAGGCAGCAUACCGGCGCCCAACUGACGCUGAAGCACGAAAGCGUGGGUAUCGAACAGGAUUAGAUACCCGAGUAGUC
RNAcentral lists this ribosomal RNA (460 nucleotides) under uncultured bacterium. RNAcentral's name for it is "partial 16S ribosomal RNA". It matches the Rfam family "Bacterial small subunit ribosomal RNA", at positions 338 to 795 of the family's 1533-position model. The record is from RNAcentral.